Molecule: ribosomal RNA, 673 nt
Filed under: uncultured fungus
Lineage: Eukaryota; Fungi
Description: eukaryotic LSU rRNA
Rfam family: 5.8S ribosomal RNA (bases 263-416)
Source: RNAcentral
CUUGGUCAUUUAGAGGAAGUAAAAGUCGUAACAAGGUUUCCGUAGGUGAACCUGCGGAAGGAUCAUUACAGUAUUCUUUUUGCCAGCGCUUAACUGCGCGGCGAAAAAACCUUACACACAGUGUUUUCUUUAUUAGAAACUAUUGCUUUGGUCUGGCUUAGAAAUAAGUUGGGCCAGAGGUUUAACUAAACUUCAAUUUUAUUAUUGAAUUGUUAUUUUAUUUAAUUUGUCAAUUUGUUGAUUAAAUUCAAAAAAUCUUCAAAACUUUCAACAACGGAUCUCUUGGUUCUCGCAUCGAUGAAGAACGCAGCGAAAUGCGAUAAGUAAUAUGAAUUGCAGAUUUUCGUGAAUCAUCGAAUCUUUGAACGCACAUUGCGCCCUCUGGUAUUCCAGAGGGCAUGCCUGUUUGAGCGUCAUUUCUCUCUCAAGCCCUCGGGUUUGGUAUUGAGUGAUACUCUUAGUCAGACUAGGCGUUUGCUUGAAAAGUAUCGGUAUGAGUAGUACUAGAUAGUGCUUUCAGGAUAUUUCAAUGUAUUAGGUUUAUCCAACUCGUUGAGAAUUCUUGGUAGUGAAUUUUUAGUAUCAUGGCUCUGCCUUACAAAACAACAAACAAGUUUGACCUCAAAUCAGGUAGGAUUACCCGCUGAACUUAAGCAUAUCAAUAAGCGGAGGA